AUGCUCACUUCGGCAGCACAUAUACUAAAAUUGGAACAAUUUUGGCAGAGAUUGGUAUGGCCCCUAUGCAAGAAUGACCUAGAAAUUCAUGAAGCAUUCCAUAUUUUU
Nycticebus coucang (slow loris) is the source of this 108-nucleotide small nuclear RNA. The record is from RefSeq and is a predicted model, not a curated record. NCBI's taxonomy places the organism in Eukaryota, Metazoa, Chordata, Mammalia, Primates, Lorisidae.